RNAcentral lists this long non-coding RNA (647 nucleotides) under Sus scrofa (pig). RNAcentral describes it as "lncRNA (ENSSSCG00040013021.1)". The record is from RNAcentral. Lineage: Eukaryota; Metazoa; Chordata; Mammalia; Artiodactyla; Suidae.
GAAACUAAUACAUCAUUGUUUAUUUGCUUGCUUUCUCCCUUCUGCAGUUUUCCAGGUUUGAUUUGGGGACUGGGAGACAGCAGCCUAAACUUGAUCAUCCUUUUGGCAAUUACAGGAUGCUGGAAUCGCUCCUUGAGAAGGCUGGACUUUUACAAAGGCUCUGUCAUCCAUGGAUGUCUGCCCAGAUACUUCUUACAGGAUGCUGCUCUUACAAGCAUAAGUGGAUGUCUUUCGCUAUACACACCUCAGGACAUGAAUGGAUCGAUGGACAGAGUUAAAGACAAUGAGCAAACUGGCCAAUCCAUAUCUGAAUGUCAAACUAUCGACGCCAGAGAAAAAUUCAUGGUAGGACAGGUUAAAAAGAAAAAAAAAAACACUGAAAGAAGAAGCAGGUGUCAGACAUCCCUUUUCCCACCCCUGUUUAUGAAAUUAGGAGCUUCAUCAGGAGGAGAAAAGAGAAAUUAAGCCUAAGAAAAUGGGAAGGAGCAGAGGUUUUACACGAUUCAUGAGGUAGUCAUUUUUUCAAAUAGUGGGUUGGAAUCCUGAAAUAUUAUGUGUGGACCUGGAAGAAAAUGGACUUGAGACUUGCCUGGAUAUCUGUUUACCAUGGUUGAGUGGCCUGGCUACAAUGCUUGGUCCUUGAGGUA